GAUUCGUCAGGUGACUGCGUACCUUUUGUAUAAUGGGUCAGCGACUUAUAUUCUGUAGCAAGGUUAACCGAAUAGGGGAGCCGAAGGGAAACCGAGUCUUAACUGGGCGUUAAGUUGCAGGGUAUAGACCCGAAACCCGGUGAUCUAGCCAUGGGCAGGUUGAAGGUUGGGUAACACUAACUGGAGGACCGAACCGACUAAUGUUGAAAAAUUAGCGGAUGACUUGUGGCUGGGGGUGAAAGGCCAAUCAAACCGGGAGAUAGCUGGUUCUCCCCGAAAGCUAUUUAGGUAGCGCCUCGUGAAUUCAUCUUCGGGGGUAGAGCACUGUUUCGGCUAGGGGGUCAUCCCGACUUACCAACCCGAUGCAAACUGCGAAUACCGAAGAAUGUUAUCACGGGAGACACACGGCGGGUGCUAACGUCCGUCGUGAAGAGGGAAACAACCCAGACCGCCAGCUAAGGUCCCAAAGUCAUGGUUAAGUGGGAAACGAUGUGGGAAGGCACAGACAGCCAGGAUGUUGGCUUAGAAGCAGCCAUCAUUUAAAGAAAGCGUAAUAGCUCACUGGUCGAGUCGGCCUGCGCGGAAGAUGUAACGGGGCUAAACCAUGCACCGAAGCUGCGGCAGCGACACUAUGUGUUGUUGGGUAGGGGAGCGUUCUGUAAGCCGUUGAAGGUGUGCUGUGAGGCAUGCUGGAGGUAUCAGAAGUGCGAAUGCUGACAUAAGUAACGAUAAUGCGGGUGAAAAACCCGCACGCCGGAAGACCAAGGGUUCCUGUCCAACGUUAAUCGGGGCAGGGUGAGUCGACCCCUAAGGCGAGGCCGAAAGGCGUAGUCGAUGGGAAACAGGUUAAUAUUCCUGUACUUGGUGUUACUGCGAAGGGGGGACGGAGAAGGCUAUGUUAGCCGGGCGACGGUUGUCCCGGUUUAAGCAUGUAGGCGGAGCGUUUAGGUAAAUCCGGACGCUUAUUAACGCUGAGGUGUGAUGACGAGGCACUACGGUGCUGAAGUAACAAAUGCCCUGCUUCCAGGAAAAGCCUCUAAGCAUCAGGUAACACGAAAUCGUACCCCAAACCGACACAGGUGGUCAGGUAGAGAAUACCAAGGCGCUUGAGAGAACUCGGGUGAAGGAACUAGGCAAAAUGGUGCCGUAACUUCGGGAGAAGGCACGCUGAUAUGUAGGUGAAGUGNAGAGAAUACCAAGGCGCUUGAGAGAACUCGGGUGAAGGAACUAGGCAAAAUGGUGCCGUAACUUCGGGAGAAGGCACGCUGAUGGUAGGUGAAGCGACUUGCUCGUGGAGCUGAAAUCAGUCGAAGAUACCAGCUGGCUGCAACUGUUUAUUAAAAACACAGCACUGUGCAAACGCGAAAGUGGACGUAUACGGUGUGACGCCUGCCCGCUGCCGGAAGGUUAAUUGAUGGGGUUAUCCGUAAGGAGAAGCUCUUGAUCGAAGCCCCGGUAAACGGCGGCCGUAACUAUAACGGUCCUAAGGUAGCGAAAUUCCUUGUCGGGUAAGUUCCGACCUGCACGAAUGGCGUAAUGAUGGCCAGGCUGUCUCCACCCGAGACUCAGUGAAAUUGAACUCGCUGUGAAGAUGCAGUGUACCCGCGGCAAGACGGAAAGACCCCGUGAACCUUUACUAUAGCUUGACACUGAACACUGGUCCUUGAUGUGUAGGAUAGGUGGGAGGCUUUGAAGUGUGGACGCCAGUCUGCAUGGAGCCAUCCUUGAAAUACCACCCUUUAAUGGCUGGUGUUCUAACGUAGACCCGUAAUCCGGGUUGCGGACAGUGUCUGGUGGGUAGUUUGACUGGGGCGGUCUCCUCCUAAAGAGUAACGGAGGAGCACGAAGGUUAGCUAAUCCUGGUCGGACAUCAGGAGGUUAGUGCAAAGGCAUAAGCUAGCUUGACUGCGAGAGUGACGGCUCGAGCAGGUGCGAAAGCAGGUCUUAGUGAUCCGGUGGUUCUGAAUGGAAGGGCCAUCGCUCAACGGAUAAAAGGUACUCCGGGGAUAACAGGCUGAUACCGCCCAAGAGUUCAUAUCGACGGCGGUGUUUGGCACCUCGAUGUCGGCUCAUCACAUCCUGGGGCUGAAGUAGGUCCCAAGGGUAUGGCUGUUCGCCAUUUAAAGUGGUACGCGAGCUGGGUUUAGAACGUCGUGAGACAGUUCGGUCCCUAUCUGCCGUGGGCGCUGGAG
This 2192-nucleotide ribosomal RNA is filed under the name Citrobacter sp. MH181794. RNAcentral's name for it is "bacterial LSU rRNA". It matches the Rfam family "Bacterial large subunit ribosomal RNA", at positions 583 to 2659 of the family's 2925-position model. The record is from RNAcentral. Lineage: Bacteria; Pseudomonadati; Pseudomonadota; Gammaproteobacteria; Enterobacterales; Enterobacteriaceae.